AAAGAAGAGAUCUCGACGACAAGGUAUUUCUGAGAAUUGAUUUGUGGUUUUCAAUGAUAGCUAUCGAUUGUUCAGAAAGUGGGUUAUUUUGUGUGCGAAUUUCAAAUCCAAAGAUUCGUUAUUUCAAAACAAAUCUGAGGUAACAAUGUUCAGAAAGAAAUUUGCUUUUGUUUGUCAAUUGAUCUGUUUUUUUAUUUGUAUGUUUUUGCACAGGAAGGUUGAAAAGGGAUUGAAAUCGCGAGCUCACGACUCGAUCUUCAAUCAUCUUUUCAUUUGUUGGACCUCCAUGGAUAGCUUCACUCUGUUCUUAUUCUUUUGACCCAGUGUUCGAAUAGAAGAGGAAGAAGAGGAGUGAUAGAUUUGAG
Rosa chinensis is the source of this 365-nucleotide long non-coding RNA. RefSeq lists it as uncharacterized. NCBI's taxonomy places the organism in Eukaryota, Viridiplantae, Streptophyta, Magnoliopsida, Rosales, Rosaceae. The record is from RefSeq and is a predicted model, not a curated record. The transcript is spliced from 3 exons.